UAUUACAUUUUAAAGCAUUUAGAAGUUAACAAUUAUACAUUAAGCUGAAAGUUCACUUGGAUACCUCUCAUUAUUCUUAAGUAUUAUUCCAAUACUUCUCUAGUGGAAGGAGUGGGAGUUAUCAGUGUUGUAAAUUUAGCAGUGUCUUCUUCUUUCCUAUUGUGCCUUCACUACUCCAACGGGUCAGUCAUUGAGUACUCCAGAUAAUAUUUUCUAGGGAUGAAUCUGUCAUUUUCCAGUGCUCAAGCAGUUCAAAUUCAAAGAUGACUUGUACUCAUCUAGAUGAAUUGAUAAGGACAGGUUACACAAAAGGACGUCAGCUUAAGAACACUUCACGGCAUCAUACCUGUUUCACUGGCCUGAGCUUGGAGACUGAAACCUCAGUUCUAAUUCACCCUGCAGUCUAUCAUGGCUGAACUUGGCCGAUAUUUUUCUAAAGUGCCCAUUUGCAAUGUGGAGGUCUCUUCCCAGCAGAAAGAUGAAGAAACUUCUCUGCAGUACUCCAGUGCAGACACAUCUGUGGAUUUCUGAAUGAUACAUGGAAACUCCAUCUAAAAUCACAGUCUUCAAAAUAAAGUCUAGAUUACUACCUAACUCCAAAUUA
Molecule: long non-coding RNA, 604 nt
Organism: Parus major (Great Tit)
Lineage: Eukaryota; Metazoa; Chordata; Aves; Passeriformes; Paridae
Exons: 3
Source: RefSeq, a predicted model, not a curated record